This 460-nucleotide ribosomal RNA is filed under the name uncultured bacterium. Its description in RNAcentral is "partial 16S ribosomal RNA". It matches the Rfam family "Bacterial small subunit ribosomal RNA", at positions 338 to 795 of the family's 1533-position model. The record is from RNAcentral.
CCUACGGGAGGCAGCAGUGAGGAAUAUUGGUCAAUGGGCGAGAGCCUGAACCAGCCAAGUCGCGUGAGGGCUGAAGGAUCUAUGGUUUGUCAACUUCUUUUAUAUGGGAAUAAACUGCUGAACGUGUUCCUUUUUGUAUAUCCCAUAUGAAUAAGCAUCCGCUAACUCCGUGCCAGCAGCCGCGGUAAUACGGAGUAUGCCAGCGUUAUCCGGAUUUAUUGGGUUUAAAGGGUGCGUAGGUGGUUAAUUAAGUCAGCGGUGAAAGUUUGUGGCUCAACCAUAAGAUUGCCGUUGAAACUGGUUGACUUGAGUAUGUUUGAGGUAGGCGGAAUGCGUGGUGUAGCGGUGAAAUGCAUAGAUAUCACGCAGAACUCCGAUUGCGAAGGCAGCUUACUAAACUAUAACUGACACUGAAGCACGAAAGCGUGGGGAUCGAACAGGAUUAGAUACCCUAGUAGUC